AUACAUAUAGGUUUAUUAUGUCACCUGCAAUAAUUUACGCUAGGAAUAUUUAGUCCAUAUGGAACAAUUUUUACUAUGAGAUCAAUCCCGAAAUCAGAAAAAAAUAUGUUUCUCCCAUAUAAAAUAUCAACAUCAGACUAGCCAAGAUGUAUGAAACGGCCAAUUUCACGAUUUCGGGCUUGGUCCCGUAGUAAAAAUUGUUCGGUAUGACCUAUACACGGUACUAACACGAGGAAACCGAAAGAUUUCAAAGCCUGACCAGGAAUAUAUGAUCAUUGUCAAGAGCGCGCUAUUUUUCUCAUUUAUAUGGCAACAGUUCAGCAUAGUCUGAACAAUGUAAAUUGGCAACUCGUUAUUUUGACUUACAGACUUUUAUUCACCGUAAUCAAAAUCAGAAUCCAAAUAAUUGGUGUCCACAUUUUUUUAAUCGUCUGUACUUGUUUUUUCCGUAUAAAAUUCAUGUAUUUUCUUACGUAUCACACAUAGGUCAAAAUAGUCUUAGUGUAUCUUCUUUUUUAUUUUUGGUUUGCUUUUCAUGGCAGCCUAAAAUCUUAGGAGGAACGACCUUCUCUCGUAGUUCGCGUAAUCGAUGACCCUGAUUUAUCUAGAAAUUUUAUUAAUGACUAUAAUUACUGCAGAUAGUUACCUAUAUUUGUGUACAUGCCAUAUGGUGUGGCCACUAUUAGCUACACCAUCAGCUCAGCUCAGCUCUAUAGCUUAUUAUUUCGUCUAUCAUGUUACUACAUCCAAGAUUGGCUCACAAAAAGGCUACCAUGAUGUUAGUUGGUAGGUAUAUUCCGUAACCUUACAUAGGUUCUGGUACAUAGUCAAUGAAUAAGAUUGAUCGUAUCCAAAGCCUAGUAAAUAUUUUUCAAACACAUUUUUGUUACUGUAAGUAUUUCGUCGCUUGUAUAACAUGUCGUCUUAUGGUACCCAUGGUCCAGAGGGCCUUCGUGAGACAUUGCCAUGCGCUCCUGUCCUGUGCUUCGCGCUCCGCGUCCCUCCAACUCAGUCCGGCUGCCCGCAAUUGUAUAACACAGUACUACAAUAACCAAGUCGUAAUAACCAGACUAUAAUGCCAUUUUGAUUUGUUUACCUGUCAGCUCUGAUGUUAAUUUGGAAAUGUUUCGUAGCGAAAUAGUAUAAUUUCCCGAAAGGUUCUUUUCCAGCAGUUUAUUAUUUACAUCAUUUACAAUGUUUCGAUCUUGAUUUUGUAUAGUUUUGGGCAUUUUUUUCAUUUAUUAUUUAAUAUUCAACACUUAAGUAUUAUUCAAAUAAACCGCCACAAUGACAUUGCCAACGGUGACAACCUAUCAUUAAAAUUAUUGCCAGUGUAAGAAAUUAGUUCCAAUGAAAUUCCGCAACAUGGCGCAUGACCAUAUAUUCCUGGUCAGGCUUUAACAGUGUAUUCUUGAUCACAUUUGAUACAUAUCAAAGAUAAUUUGAAAUAGAGGUAGAUUGUUAAAAAAAACUUUGUAGCCACAAUAAAUUUACAGCCAUCUUUCGACACAUGAAUAAAACUUUUAGAACGCCAUUUGACUUUGAUCCUUAUUAUUUCACUGAUGUGUUAAAUUUGUAAAAUAUCAAAAAGUGGCGCCAUCUAAUAGAUCAAAGUUAUGGGACGACAUCGUUUCGAGCGAUGGCGCCAUAAUCUUUAAGGUUGUGCCCGGUAAGAUAGCGCCAUAACAAAAUACAUUUAACAUGUAACAUGUGUUUUUUUUUUGAUAUUUAACAAAUUUAACACAUAUCAGUGAAAGAAUAAGGAUCAAAGUCAAAUGGCGUUCUAAAAGUUUUAAUCAUGUGUCGAAAGAUGGCAGUAAAUUUACGUGGCUGCAAAGUUUUCUAUGACAAUACACCAUUACUUCAAAUUCUGUUUGAUAUAUAUACGUAUUUUUAUGUAAGGGCGCCAUCUAGCGUUAGAACUUUUAACCUUCUCUAAGAGCUCACUAGAUGUCGCCAAUAAAUAAGAAUUUAGAUCUAUAUUUGUGUUUAUUACAGCGGUAUGGAAAUUCCAAUUUUACGUUUAGAAGUAAUAAAUAGCAGUAAGGUGACAGUUUUAAUGAACACAAAGCUAAAAGGCAUAAAUGGUAGAUGAGCCACCUACAACUAUAUAUGGGCAUGCGGUAGAUUAUAGGUAUUCUAUAUUGUCUAUACUCGAAUUGCAAUAUCUGGUCAUCAUCAUUAUAGGUAUACCAGCCAACAGUACAUCUUGAAGUCAAGGGUUACGUUCUUUCGGAAAAUAACAUUUAAACGCUUAACACACCUAACUCAAUUCAGUCGUCCUAACUAGGAUCCUAAAAAAAUAUUACUAGUUAGUGCAGAAUGUUUCUUACUAAACGCGGUAACACCUUUACGAUUUAGGAUUCUGAAUCAGUUCUGAAUUAAGUAAGAUGUGUGAAGCCUAUAUACCUUACGGUAGGCUGAACAAACUAAAGAUCUAGAAUCUAAGCUUUAAAGGUACAAGUUGGAAUCCGGCGACGUGAGGCGAUUGCAGACGACGUCGCCGCGUCACGCUUGGUUUCUAUGUAAAGCCCGACCAGAAAUAUAUGAUCAUUGUCAAGAGGGAGCUGUUAUUCUCAUAUAUAGGGUGACAGUUCAGUUUAGUAUGAAAAAUUUAGUUCCAUGAAAUUCCGCAAUAUAACGCGUGAUCAUAUAUUAGUGGUCAGGCUUUAUUUCUAUGAAAUACCAUUGGAACUCAGCGACACGAAGCCGAGCCCGACUGCAGGUCAGUAUGCCGCUGAGUGAUGGAGAGACAUAAAGCGUAUCGUUGUCGAUUAAUUGUCACUUUGGCUAGGCCGGCUGAGCACUCGGCUGAGGACACUCUCCCGCCACCCGUACUCGGUACGUGUGAUCAAAGAGUAAAGUGAGUAUAUAGGAACGUGUGAUCAAGGCAUAAGUCCACAGAUUGGAACAGCCAAGAUUGGAAGUAGUGCAACAACAGUUAGAAAAAGCUUAAGAGUUGUUUGUUGUUGCCAAGUUGGCAGCGAUUUUGAUAGCGUAAAUUGUGCAAGUGAUAUUUAAACGUCAUAAUUUCAUAGAAGUUUGACGUUUAAAAUCACUUGCACAGUCUGGGCUAGCAAAAUCGCUGCCAACUUAGCUUGGUCUAACUCUACACACUACUAGAGUUAGACCAAGAUAAGUGCAACAAUUUUGAUAGCACACGUAGUGCCAGUAUAGUACCAGUGUUAUUUUAAACGUCAAACAUAUGAAAUUAUGACUUAUUCAUUUCACACUCACAACAGUUGCAUACGCACACUUGCGUAUAAAUAACACUUGCACUGCUUGUGCUAUCAAAAUCGUUGCAGACUUGUCUUGGACAAACUCUGCACUACAUACAUCUCUCGUGAAUAGGCGGGUCUUAUCGGGAACAAAUUAUAUGUAUAUAUCUAGCGAACUUAACCCAAUUUAAAUUUCGGAGGCUGAACUAACCUAAAGGGGCUCAACUAAUAUUUAUAAAAUAUGAAAAUUUGGAUUUGAGGAUACCAGACCUAGAUUGCUUUACCGGCGCACGUAGUGAUUAUAUGCUCUUUGACCGGCGCUAUAGCAACGAUUUUAAGCGUUCUUGGAGGGAAUAUUACGGGAAACUCUGCGUAGGGGGCGCCACUACCACAAAACACAAUUCAUCACAAUCUGAGGGGUCUACCGCCAAACAAGAAAAUCAAAAUUACGUUAUCUAGCCUCUCUAUCACUCUUAUAUAUUCGAGCGAUAAAGAGGCAGAUAAAGCCCGACCAGAAAUAUAUGAUUAUUGUCAAGAGGGCGCUGUUAUUCUCAUGUAUAGGGUGACAGUUCAGUUUAAUAUGAAAAAUUGUGUUCUAAUGAAAUUCCGCAAUAUGGCGCGUGAUCAUAUAUUACUGGUCAGCAACUGGUCAGGCUUUAACUAAAUUUCGUUUUUCGCGUUUCCCGGUAGGCCCUUUGGAAACAAACCGCCUUGAUGCAUUAAUGUCAUAUUUUAUUAUCAGUGAAAACUUGUCAAAAAACAGUUGUAUAAGUUAGUCUAUGGUUCACGAAAAGUGCUAGUGCUGCACUCUGGCGGCAGAACAAUGCAGUAAUACUCCCUAUAAAUGGUUCACCGUCUAAAAUCUGCGUUUGGAACUGGCAGCUAAUGACAUGUGGCUUACGUCUCACUGAAGUUCUUUAUUCAACUUCUAUCACAUCCGUCAUUAUUCAUCUUAUCCGUGUAUGUUUGGUUAACAUUUUAACGUAAAUUAAUUUAUUGUAGUAAUUCCUCAUAAAAAUUAUAUUAGUUAAGUUAAACACUUCAUGUCCCUUAUUAGAUUGUAAUGGAGUGUAAGGCAAGUGAAAGUAAGAAAUUGUUUCAAGUGUUCGAUGCAUCAAAACGUAAGCGUGCAAAAAAGAAAAGGGAAGAAGAGGGCAGGUCCUUAGCGCGUUCUGCUAGUGACGGGUCUACAAGCCAGGGUCAAAUUCGUGUGGUAUCAGCUAAAGCCAGUCUACAAGAAACUGUUCCUUCGAAAACUGAUGCUUUUCCGAGUCACGAUGAGAGGACUGCCGACAGUAGCCCGUCACUCCGGUCUCAGAGUUCGCCGCGCCGCCACCGACGUCCCAG
This is a long non-coding RNA of Cydia pomonella (codling moth), 4565 nucleotides long. RefSeq lists it as uncharacterized. The transcript is spliced from 3 exons. The record is from RefSeq and is a predicted model, not a curated record. Lineage: Eukaryota; Metazoa; Arthropoda; Insecta; Lepidoptera; Tortricidae.